Molecule: ribosomal RNA, 776 nt
Filed under: uncultured Neocallimastigales
Lineage: Eukaryota; Fungi; Neocallimastigomycota; Neocallimastigomycetes; Neocallimastigales
Description: partial large subunit ribosomal RNA
Rfam family: Eukaryotic large subunit ribosomal RNA
Source: RNAcentral
UACUAGAGUAGCACUCGCAUAUCAAUAAGCGGAGGAAAAGGAACUAACAAGGAUUCCCUUAGUAACGGCGAGUGAAGCGGGAAGAGCUCAAAUUUGAAAUCUUCAAGGUUUUACCUUGACGAAUUGUAGUUUAAAGAAGUGUUUUCUGUUGAAGUUUCGGUAAAAGUUCUUUGGAAUAGGACAUCAUAGAGGGUGAGAAUCCCGUAUUUGACCGUUACUUUUCCAGCUGUGUGAUACACUUUCAAAGAGUCGGAUUGUUUGGGAAUGCAGUCCAAAAUGGGUGGUAAAUUUCAUCUAAAGCUAAAUAUUGGCGAGAGACCGAUAGCGUAACAAGUACCGUGAGGGAAAGAUGAAAAGAACUUUGAAAAGAGAGUUAAACAGUACGUGAAAUUGUCAAAAGGGAAGCGUUUGACACCAGUGUUGUUUUUCCGAAAAUCAAUUAUGAAUGGCUUGAUUUUAAGUUUCAUGACCUUAAAAGCUUGUUUCUUAUUUUUCAUGUCUUUCGUAAUGCACUUUUCGGUUAACAAGUCAACAUCAAUUUCUUUUGUUGUAAAAGGUUAAGAGGAAGGUGGCUUUACUUUCGGGUAAAGUGUUUAUAGCCUUUUACCUCUGCAAUCGGAGAGAUUGGGGUCUGCAGCGUAGACUCCUCGGGGUUAGAUACAUUUAUGCUAAGCUAUAGCCUUGUAUAGACAACUUGUUGACUAUGCUCAGUCAUGUAGCUUACUCGUAGAUGCUAUUUUACCUACGCUUAGGAUGUUGAUAGUCACAGCGUGUAC